RNAcentral lists this non-coding RNA (30 nucleotides) under Rattus norvegicus (Norway rat). The record is from RNAcentral. Lineage: Eukaryota; Metazoa; Chordata; Mammalia; Rodentia; Muridae.
UAUGCAUAGUGCAUAUCAUCGGGAAGGUCA